Molecule: long non-coding RNA, 719 nt
Filed under: Homo sapiens (human)
Lineage: Eukaryota; Metazoa; Chordata; Mammalia; Primates; Hominidae
Description: HSALNT0079430
Source: RNAcentral
CUUCUUUCUCUGGGUAUCUUUAACUGCCUUCCACCUCCGGAAAAGGAUCGAACACCAUCUUUCAGAGAUGAUUGCAUCUUACAGAUGAAAGACAGGAAUGUACCUGGUUUGUCUCUCCCUGAUGCUGAGGAAACACAGGCCCAGAUGGAAAGUGGCUUGCCCAAUCCCACACAGCAAGGCAGAGAUGGAUCCAUCCAGCUCUCUCCUCCCAGCCAGGGCUUAGCGACAACACAGCUACAGGGGCAUGAGAGGCUCAGAGGCCUGGUCCUCUGGCUGGUGGAGCCUUGGAGGCAGUAGUGAAGAUCCCUGGAAGAGGGAGGCCAUGAAGAGGGAUGCAGAUACCUGGCAAGCCCACCUCCCUUCUAUGCCACCUGCCAGCCUUCUCUGACAUUCCCAAACCAGGGACCAACACCGCCAAUCAGGGAAGAUUUACACGCAUUUAAUUAUAGAACCAGUUCAAGUCUCUGGAGGCUGGAUGUCCGGCCUUCACCCUGGCACAGUGGGCUGUGGGCUCUGCGGUCCAGUUGCUAGUCAGGAGACGUCCUGGUGGCCCCUGAUUCGUGUUCACGUUCACAUCACUGUUCCUGCGGUUCUCUACACAUUCACCUUGGUAUUAGCUCUCUUUGCCCCUGGUCCAGCAUACCUCUUCAGCUUCCAAGUAUGGGUCACCUUCCUUAUGUAAAUUUCCUCUUGGGACUGUAUUUUCUUUUAAAUAAAAA